This 203-nucleotide ribosomal RNA is filed under the name uncultured bacterium. Its description in RNAcentral is "partial 16S ribosomal RNA". It matches the Rfam family "Bacterial small subunit ribosomal RNA", at positions 1299 to 1500 of the family's 1533-position model. The record is from RNAcentral.
UGCAGUCUGCAACUCGACUGCAUGAAGCUGGAAUCGCUAGUAAUCGCGAAUCAGCAUGUCGCGGUGAAUACGUUCCCGGGUCUUGUACACACCGCCCGUCACACCAUGGGAGUCGGAAAUGCCCGAAGCCAGUGACCCAACCUUUAAGGAGGGAGCUGUCGAAGGCAGGUCUGGUAACUGGGGUGAAGUCGUAACAAGGUAAC